GCAGGCGGAAACCCGCCCUCUCUUCCGAUGCGGGUUGCAAUGGCUGGAAGUCAUGGUUUCCUCGCUGUGGUUGCAGCAAGGCCAGCGACCUCGGGCCUUUGUCGAGGGAAGGCUGCGGAGGCCUUUCUUUGGCAUCUGCAGAGACGGUGAGCAGCAGACCUGCAGGUUGAAGCUUAGAAGUAACGAAUGGAAAUCUGAAAUAGAUGUAGGCUGUGGGCUUUGAAAAAAAGUCACAUGAAAACCAUCAUCCAGAGAUGUAAGGAUCCGUGUGAUGAGAUUUCUAUAAAUGGUACAGCUUCAGUUUGAGGCCGAAAAGGAUACUCCAGAAAAACACACUGGCUGCAGUGCUGUGGCGGCUGCCCUGGACCUGACGUGGAAUUUCUCUCGUGUCUGCAGCGUGUGAAACAGAACUGACCUGCUUUACCUAAAGCAAGUGAAACCGUUCGUCUCCCAUUGUUUGUAAUCUCUGCCGCACGUGAACCCCGGCCCUUGGCAGUGAGAGUGCCGAGUCCUAACCAUUGGAUCACCAGGGGAUUCCCCGAACCUGUAUGUUUGACUUCAGAGGGCGUCUGAAUAUAAAUGCUCCCAGCACUUGGUGGGUGCUCUUUACUGGACCCUUGCCAGAUUCUAUUCUCUCAGAUCACCGUCUCCUGGAAAGAGGCAUUUGGGACCCACUAGCCUGCACUGUAUCAAUCUGGUUGUGCCUUCCACACACACAAACACACAGGCAAAAUGAUAGAUUGUUUAGAAUGAGUUCCUUCAGGAUUGCCUCUUGUAAAUUAAGGUAUAACAAAGAACAUUUGCAGUACCACACACAGAGUUGAGGUGAUCUUGGUGCAGUGGGGGGACCGCAGAGAUUAUACAAUGAAACUUACAUGUACACGCUCUGUUGAAGACUAAGGGGAAACAGGUGUUCAGCCUAAAAAAACCUUUCUCAGUGGAUUUCUACAGUGUGUCUUGGGUUUAACUUUAAAGCAAAUUAAAACAUUUAAAAGUUGA
Molecule: long non-coding RNA, 999 nt
Organism: Cervus elaphus (red deer)
Lineage: Eukaryota; Metazoa; Chordata; Mammalia; Artiodactyla; Cervidae
Exons: 6
Source: RefSeq, a predicted model, not a curated record